RNAcentral lists this ribosomal RNA (468 nucleotides) under uncultured bacterium. Its description in RNAcentral is "partial 16S ribosomal RNA". It matches the Rfam family "Bacterial small subunit ribosomal RNA", at positions 28 to 507 of the family's 1533-position model. The record is from RNAcentral.
GACGAACGCUGGCGGCGUGCUUAACACAUGCAAGUCGAACGGAAAGGCCCUGCUUUUGUGGGGUGCUCGAGUGGCGAACGGGCGAGUAACACGUGAGUAACCUGCCCUUGACUUUGGGAUAACUUCAGGAAACUGGGGCUAAUACCGGAUAGGAGCUCCUGCUGCAUGGUGGGGGUUGGAAAGUUUCGGCGGUUGGGGAUGGACUCGCGGCUUAUCAGCUUGUUGGUGGGGUAGUGGCUUACCAAGGCUUUGACGGGUAGCCGGCCUGAGAGGGUGACCGGCCACAUUGGGACUGAGAUACGGCCCAGACUCCUACGGGAGGCAGCAGUGGGGAAUAUUGCACAAUGGGCGGAAGCCUGAUGCGGCAACGCCGCGUGCGGGAUGACGGCCUUCGGGUUGUAAACCGCUUUCGCCUGUGACGAAGCGUGAGUGACGGUGAUGGGUAAAGAAGCACCGGCUAACUACGUG